This is a long non-coding RNA of Bombus terrestris (buff-tailed bumblebee), 940 nucleotides long. RefSeq lists it as uncharacterized. The transcript is spliced from 2 exons. The record is from RefSeq and is a predicted model, not a curated record. NCBI's taxonomy places the organism in Eukaryota, Metazoa, Arthropoda, Insecta, Hymenoptera, Apidae.
ACCGAGCUGAUAAAAAAGACGUGACUGAAAAGUUGCAAGGACUGCGGCCGAUAAAAGCUCGAUCGUACCUUUUAUGUAACAUCGAAAUCAAUAUCUCAUUUGUUCCGGCGUCUUUCUUUUCGUAGCUCAAACGACUUCUGCUUCCAAGAAGAAACUUUAGCCGAUUUGUAACGAUUCCCCGCUUGGAAGAAUUUGCCAUCGUCACGUGAAACGCGUGCAGAACUAAUGAUGCACUGUGAUAUGUCCUCCUAUUAUGUAUGUAGCUGGUCUUUCCGUUGAUCACUGCAUUGCGCAGCAACGCAUGCAGUUCGCGUGCGCCGAUUCAGAAGGAGAACUUACGAUAAGAAGUAAAGAAUUUUCAUAGAUCGAUUGUAAAUCUACUGGUUCAAUAAGAAAGUAGGCCGUUAAAUUAGCAUGUAUUUUGUCAUCUUAUAUAUUACUAUAAUUUCUUAAUAGUUGCGCAAACGUAGCUUCGUAUAUACGAAAUUCUAUGCAUUCUAUAGAUUGAUCAUCGACAAUCGUUUCAGGAUAAACGAAUAUUGAGAUGAGAUCAGUGGUGAUUGAAAGGGAGCGCGAAAAAUUGGACUCACCGUGAUGGAUAGUCGACAGCAGAACCACGAGGACGAGGGUGACAAUCGGCGCGAGACGGUUUGCAAUCAUGAUCACGAUCACCGGACCAUGUGUUUCAGGCUAAUCACGUUGCAGUCAGUCACUUCGGACGUGUUGCCUCCACCCUCGCUGCAUGGAAAGUUCGCACGCGGCAGGUCUGAUUAUAAUUGUGUUAAUAUUUAUAUAAAUUUUCUGUAACUUGUAGAGCCUUCUCGAAAAACGAACAGUGUUUGAAAGAUAUCGAGGACGAGUGAGAAGAAUUUAUUAGAUGGCAGUGUUCGAUAGACAGGUCCUGUCUGUGAUGUCUCUUUCUCCGUUCUCACGUCCGAAA